UACGAAGGGGGCUAGCGUUGCUCGGAAUCACUGGGCGUAAAGGGUGCGUAGGCGGGUCUUUAAGUCAGGGGUGAAAUCCUGGAGCUCAACUCCAGAACUGCCUUUGAUACUGAGGAUCUUGAGUUCGGGAGAGGUGAGUGGAACUGCGAGUGUAGAGGUGAAAUUCGUAGAUAUCGGGAGGAACACCGGUGGCGAAGGCGGCGACCUGGGUAGAUACUGACGCUGAGGUGCGAAAGCGUGGGGAGCAAACAGG
This 253-nucleotide ribosomal RNA is filed under the name uncultured bacterium. RNAcentral describes it as "partial 16S ribosomal RNA". It matches the Rfam family "Bacterial small subunit ribosomal RNA", at positions 524 to 776 of the family's 1533-position model. The record is from RNAcentral.